Molecule: ribosomal RNA, 492 nt
Filed under: uncultured bacterium
Lineage: Bacteria
Description: partial 16S ribosomal RNA
Rfam family: Bacterial small subunit ribosomal RNA
Source: RNAcentral
AGUGAACGCUGGCGGUAGGCCUAACACAUGCAAGUCGAACGGCAGCACAGUAAGAGCUUGCUCUUACGGGUGGCGAGUGGCGGACGGGUGAGGAAUACAUCGGAAUCUACUUUUUCGUGGGGGAUAACGUAGGGAAACUUACGCUAAUACCGCAUACGACCUACGGGUGAAAGCAGGGGAUCUUCGGACCUUGCGCGAUUGAAUGAGCCGAUGUCGGAUUAGCUAGUUGACGGGGUAAAGGCCCACCAAGGCGACGAUCCGUAGCUGGUCUGAGAGGAUGAUCAGCCACACUGGAACUGAGACACGGUCCAGACUCCUACGGGAGGCAGCAGUGGGGAAUAUUGGACAAUGGGCGCAAGCCUGAUCCAGCCAUACCGCGUGGGUGAAGAAGGCCUUCGGGUUGUAAAGCCCUUUUGUUGGGAAAGAUAAGCAGCAGGUUAAUACCCCGCUGUUCUGACGGUACCCAAAGAAUAAGCACCGGCUAACUUCGUG